GUAAAAACAACAAAGAACAAAGUUGAGAGAAAAGCUAAGAGCCAAAAAAUCACAAAACUGUAAACAUAGCAAGCAUAAAAGUGAUUAACUAACACAUUUCUGAUCCAGAGCGAAACCAACUCUUUGGUUCUCAGUUUAUUAAAGACAGAAAGGUGAACGAACUGGGAGAUAUUUUUACACAAAACAAUCAGAAAUAUCAACACGCUUUUCUUUCCAUCACAUGUUUAAUGUCAAAACAUGAAGGUAGGUUUUACCCACUAAUAACUGUCUGUUGUUACACUUAAUAUGUUAAAAUGUGUUGUCAGUUGAGUUGUUUGAACAAUAUCCAGGAGAAAUAAAAGUAAAGGUUAUUUGGAGAUCUGAAAAAUUAACUUUGAAAAGUUCAUUUUUCAUUUAAUUGAAUUCAAAAAGUGAAACUCUAGAUUCUUUACACAAAGCGUGGUAUAAUUGAAGUGUUUAUAUUUGUGUAUUUCGAUAUUGAUGUCAGUUCUGUUUCUCCACAAUUUACAAUGUUACAUAAGACAAAUAAAAAGCUUUUAGUGGAGAAAUGUAAAGUUAUUGGAAGGACUGCUGAUAGCUGACAGCUAUUAACAACUUUCACAAGACUGGUUCAUGUCAUUGCUCUAUUGAAGAAUACAAAGGGAAAAUUGAGUGGAAGGAAAAAGCCUGAUAGAAAAAGGUAAAAACCAGCAGGGAUAACUUCAGUUUUUAGAGGAUUGUGGAGAAAACCCAACUCAAGAAAUGGAGUCAGACUUUCUAAAGCCACUCCACACAGACAGACCUGAGCUACACCUCUCCAAACACAGAUCACUUUAGGAGCAUUUUACCUCCAACAAAAUCCUUUUGAGAUAAAGACGACGUCCGCAGCAGAUCCAACAUCAGCCCCACUGCAGACAGUCUGACCCAGGGCUGACCCAGUCCAAUUUCAGAUCCCAGCGUUCUUCUUCUAUGUGCUGGAAAACGGUCCAAAUGUAGAAUACAUUGAGCGUCUGAAUUCCCCUGAGGCUCAUUAUAACGUCAGCCAAUCCUCAGACUCCAUCUUCUCCUCUUACGCCACCGUUGUCUUCACUUACUCUGUUGUUUUGAUUGGAACCAUAAAAUUCAGUU
Long non-coding RNA from Poecilia latipinna (sailfin molly), 1107 nucleotides. RefSeq lists it as uncharacterized. The transcript has 2 exons. Lineage: Eukaryota; Metazoa; Chordata; Actinopteri; Cyprinodontiformes; Poeciliidae. The record is from RefSeq and is a predicted model, not a curated record.